This 413-nucleotide ribosomal RNA is filed under the name Validiblatta fuliginosa (smokybrown cockroach). Its description in RNAcentral is "Periplaneta fuliginosa (smokybrown cockroach) partial 16S ribosomal RNA". The record is from RNAcentral. Lineage: Eukaryota; Metazoa; Arthropoda; Insecta; Blattodea; Blattidae.
UUACGCUGUUAUCCCUAAGGUAAUUUAAUCUUAUAAUCAAUAAAAUUGGAUCAAUUUAUCAUAAAUAAAUCUAUAAAACAAAAAAGAGUUAAUUAAUUCUUCCUAUCACCCCAACAAAACAUAUCAAUUAUUUAAUAAAAAUAAUCAAACAAAAUAAAUAUAAAAAUAUGUAUAAACUCUAUAGGGUCUUCUCGUCCCAUAAAUAAAUUUAAGCUUUUUAACUUAAAAAUUAAAUUCAAAUAAAAUAAUAAGAAACAGUAUAUUCCUCGUCCAACCAUUCAUUCCAGUCCACAAUUAAAGGACUAAUGAUUAUGCUACCUUUGCACGGUCAAAAUACCGCGGCCCUUCAAAAUUAAUCAGUGGGCAGGUCAUACUUUAUAUUUAUACAGAGAUAUGUUUUUGUUAAACAGGCG